UGGGGAACCGUGCCCCACUAGUCUGGGAUACCACUUGGAAACAGGUGCUAAUACCGGAUAAGAAAGCGGAUCGCAUGAUCAGCUUUUAAAAGGCGGCGUAAGCUGUCGCUAUGGGAUGGCCCCGCGGUGCAUUAGCUAGUUGGUAAGGUAAAGGCUUACCAAGGCGAUGAUGCAUAGCCGAGUUGAGAGACUGAUCGGCCACAUUGGGACUGAGACACGGCCCAAACUCCUACGGGAGGCAGCAGCG
Molecule: ribosomal RNA, 247 nt
Filed under: uncultured Lactobacillus sp.
Lineage: Bacteria; Bacillati; Bacillota; Bacilli; Lactobacillales; Lactobacillaceae
Description: partial 16S ribosomal RNA
Rfam family: Bacterial small subunit ribosomal RNA
Source: RNAcentral